CUUCGGUGACGAUACGAUGACGAGUCAGAAGGGAUGUCCUUGCGUCAUUGCAGCCUGCUCAGUGCCAUGUUCUGUGGUGCUGUGCUAAGGCUGCCUUGGGCAGGAUGUCCUAUUCAUUGGAUGAUUUAGAGGCAUUUGUCUGAGAAGG
Molecule: non-coding RNA, 148 nt
Organism: Egretta garzetta (little egret)
Lineage: Eukaryota; Metazoa; Chordata; Aves; Pelecaniformes; Ardeidae
Source: Rfam